Non-coding RNA from Mesocricetus auratus (golden hamster), 109 nucleotides. The record is from Rfam. NCBI's taxonomy places the organism in Eukaryota, Metazoa, Chordata, Mammalia, Rodentia, Cricetidae.
GUAUACUUGCUUUGACAACACAUAUACUAAAAUUGGAAUGAUACAGAGAAGAUCAGCAUGGCCCCUGCACAAAGAUGACAUGAAAAUUUGUGAAGCAUUCUAUGGUUUU